Mesocricetus auratus (golden hamster) is the source of this 2329-nucleotide long non-coding RNA. RefSeq lists it as uncharacterized. The record is from RefSeq and is a predicted model, not a curated record. Lineage: Eukaryota; Metazoa; Chordata; Mammalia; Rodentia; Cricetidae. The transcript is spliced from 3 exons.
AGGAGAAAUCUGGGAGGAGAUCAAGAGGCAAGAGAGACUGAGGAACAAGAAAAGGAGAGGAGGAUGUCAGGUCCCAGCCACCCAGCCAGCAAUGGAGUACGAAAGAAAGAUAUACAGAAACAGAAAAAGGUUUUGGAGCCCAGACUCAGGUCAUCAGGCUUGGCGGCAAGUGCUGUAACCCACCGAGUCACCUCCCCGGCUCAAUACUAGAUUUUAAUAUUCAAAGGGCUCAAGACUCACAAACACAGGAGGAAUACAGCGGCACGCACUGAUAAUUGUUACCUCCCCAUCUCCAUGCACCACUCCUUCAGUGCACAUCCUGUGCGCUCGAACACUGAACUGUUUUGUGUGCACUAUGCUCUCGACCUUUACAAAUCUUACCAUUCUACUUUGAGGUCCCUGUUCAUUCAGACUCCCCUUUUCUAGUAACUGCAUGAUACUCCACCACACAGAAGCACGCCAUUGUCUAGCCACUUACUGGUGAAUAUUUGGGCUGUCGAUAAGUUCCUGAAAACACUUCCUCAGUCACCCUGGAAGAGUGACUAUUGAUGAGGUGCAGCUGGAGACCCUGGCUCGUCAGGGUGGCCCCCUCUGCCUUCAGCCUCCUCACACAGUUCCUUUUUCUCAGGCUUUGCCAGAAUGGCCAGUGCCUACACAUUUUCACGGGAGGAACUGAGGGCCAUUGCCUUCAGUACCUAAACGACAGACACCAAAUGAGGCACCACGCCAGGCUCCCUGAGCCAAUGCUCCAGCGGCACCUAGCCCGCAGCUCUAUGGUAGGGCACUUCUCUGGAAGUCAUAAAAAUAGCAUUGCUGGAAGGAUGCUAAAGAGACGGUGGUUUCUUUUUCAAUCUGUGGAAACCGAGCAAUGAAUUUCAUCAAGGCAGAACCGGUAAAAUUAAACCCGUAGUGACAAUAACCCACCUACCUGUCUGUGAACAUCCGUGGGGGAAAAGUCUCCAAAUCCUUCCCAAAUUCCACCAUUCUCCUCUUCCUCAUAAAACCGAAUCUGGAUGUCGUCUGCAAACGGUCACAUUCAGGCACGUGAUUUGCAAUGGGUGUAAGAAUGUUGAUGCACAUACUAGCAAAUGCAGGCAGCACAUAACUCUGCCUCAUGUAAAUGCAAAUGCUUUGAAAAGAAUUAGUAGCAGAUUUGCACCAUUUAAAGCUUCACAGAUCAGACUCUUCACACAUUUACUCCAGGAAGGGGAUCUACCAUUUACUCAUAGUGGUAUGAGCAACAUUACAUUUACCCAAUCCAUUAAGCUUUGUCUUAGUCAACAUAUGAACUUCUCACUUUUCCACCCUUAAACUAGUUCUCUUCUGGGAAACUUGAAGGAUGGAAGGGUAACAGAACCCAUAGGUGUAACUCAAUCCAUUAUGGAGAUGCAAACUGUAACACUUGACAUAAAUGAAGCUUCCUACACGGCAGAUGCUGUCCUAAGUGCUUUCUUAUAAAUGCUAACUCAUCUAGUCCUUAAACCAGUCCUGUGAGGUAGGUACACUAAUGCUGUCCUCAUCUGCUGUCCUCAUCUGCAGACGGGAAUCUGGGGUUUACUGGUGUGUGCACAUGCGUGGGAGUACACACGUGUAGUGCGGGCACAUCCAGAGCUCAGAGGGUAACGGGAGGUGGUAGUCUUCCACCACGUGGAUCCUGGGGACUGAACGCAAGUUGUCGGGAUGACAACAAGUGCCUUUGCUUCUGCGCCAUCUUGUCAGCCCCACAUCGUGUCUUAAGCAGGCUAUCUAAGGUUGAAUAGCUAAUAGAUGAAGGAUCAGGACGUAAACAUCACAGAUGCCCAGUCCUGGCUCUCACAUGCUUUGCAGUACCACCUCCACACGCUACCUCCUUACUCCUUUAAGCAACUGUUUAAGCGCCAUGAUGACCAUGCCUUUUUGUGAUGAAACUACGAGGGUUUUUGUUUGUUUGUUUGUUACUCUCUAGUCAUGGACUCUAGCUCUGCAGAAAUAUGACAUGUAAUUCUCAGUUCAUAUGAAGGACCACACUACUGACUGGUGAAAGUUGAUAUUGCUAUUUUAAUAUAAUUUUAGAUAUAUAGGAUGUAUAAACUAUCUCAUUGUUAUCUGACCCAGUUCUUUGCCUUUGGAUAGGUCUAUCCUGGAUUUAGCAGAACAAGACACCUGUCAAUUGCAUAGUCUGUCUGUCUCCCUUUAUCCCACCUCCAAUCCUUUUCAUUUUACGUAUGUAUGUGAUGGGGAACUACAACUGUAUUAUGACAGUAACGAUCAGUUUAUCAUGUUUUGAUUUUCAUUGUACAGUGUGGAGUAAACUCUUGGGUCACUACAAAUGCUGACCAUUUUCACAGCA